CCUACGGGACGCAGCAGUGGGGGAUAUUGCACAAUGGGGGAAACCCUGAUGCAGCGACGCCGCGUGGGUGAAGAAGCGCCUCGGCGCGUAAAGCCCUGUCAGCAGGGAAGAAAAUGACGGUACCUGAAGAAGAAGCCCCGGCUAACUACGUGCCAGCAGCCGCGGUAAUACGUAGGGGGCAAGCGUUAUCCGGAUUUACUGGGUGUAAAGGGGGCGCAGACGGCGAUGCAAGCCAGGAGUGGAAGCCCGGGGCCCAACCCCGGGCCUGCUCUUGGACCUGCGUGGCUAGAGUGCGGGAGGGGCAG
Molecule: ribosomal RNA, 305 nt
Filed under: uncultured bacterium
Lineage: Bacteria
Description: bacterial SSU rRNA
Rfam family: Bacterial small subunit ribosomal RNA
Source: RNAcentral